UCUAGUGGCGAUAGCGAAGAGGUCACACUCGUUCCCAUGCCGAACACGAUCGUUAAGCUCUUCAGCGCCGAUGGUAGUUG
RNAcentral lists this ribosomal RNA (80 nucleotides) under Anaerobacillus alkaliphilus. Lineage: Bacteria; Bacillati; Bacillota; Bacilli; Caryophanales; Bacillaceae. The record is from RNAcentral.